This is a long non-coding RNA of Morus notabilis, 112 nucleotides long. RefSeq lists it as uncharacterized. The transcript is spliced from 3 exons. The record is from RefSeq and is a predicted model, not a curated record. Lineage: Eukaryota; Viridiplantae; Streptophyta; Magnoliopsida; Rosales; Moraceae.
CGCCCACACCAGACAAGAACUAAAAAGAGGCAAGCACAAUGCAUUCCCAAGGCGAACCAUCACCAUGAUUCAUAGGAUAGGUAAACAACGCAUUAAGUGGAUUGUCCCGUUA